CCUACCUGUGCUCUUUUUGAGAGGCAUUAUUGCAUAGUGGCUAAGAGCAUGGACUCUCGAGCUUGAAUUGCCUGUAUUUUCAGUCCUGACUUCACUCCUUCUCAGCUAUGUGAACUAACCUCUCUGUGCCUCAGCCUCAUUUGUGAGUGGGAAGAAUAAACUUAACCUGCCUCAAAAGGUGGUGAUGAGCAUUGAAGGAGUUAAUAUCCAGUGUGUAAAAGAACUAUCAUCACAGAGUAAGCACCACAUCCUGUGGAAAGGCUCCUGAGUGUGUACUGAGGAGGAGAGACUGUCUGCAACCCCGGAAGUGGGCCCUUUCCAAGAACCAAAUCUGCUGGCACGCUGACCUUGGACAUCCCAGUCUCCAGAACUGUGCGAAAUGUCUUGCUAAGUCACCCAGCCUCUAGUAUUUGCCAUAGCAGCCUGAGUCGGCUAAGUGCACACUGCUGGGUUGACAGAUACUUGAGGGGAAUGCGAAUUAGAUCAACUUCAACUAAAUGUGCCAAAUGGGAUUUACUUUGAUUAAGGCACAUUUAGUGUCAUGAACAAAGUCAACAAAUGUACUUUUUUUUUAAAGCAUGUUGCAUUAGCAAUAUAAUGAGCCCAAUUCACUUACUUUCUUAUUUUUAUUUUUUAGUGAGCAAGGAGGGAGAGGGGCCAAAGGAGAGAAAGGAAAUCAGGCUCCCUGCUCAGCCUACAGCCCCACAUGGAGCUCAGUCCCACAAAGUGUGAGAUCACGUCCUGAGCCAAAAUCAGGAGUCGGGUGCCCAAUCGAGUGAGGCACCAAAGGUACCCCUCCACUUAAAAUCUUAAAGUCAGGAAACCUUACUUGGAGAGUGAAAUUACCAUAAAUUGAGAAGGCUUGUAACGGGGGAAAACAAGUAUUUUCUUGGUCUUUAAUGGCACCUGAGAAGGAGAUUAAAUGCUCAUGAGACAGUCUAUGGCAACUUAAUUGUUCUAGUAUUGUCUUAUAACUACCCACCUAAAAAGAUAAGUGUUCCCAGUGAUACAAGGAUGUAGCUAAACACUACAUUUUUAAGAGCUGGGUUUU
Long non-coding RNA from Herpailurus yagouaroundi (jaguarundi), 1051 nucleotides. RefSeq lists it as uncharacterized. The record is from RefSeq and is a predicted model, not a curated record. NCBI's taxonomy places the organism in Eukaryota, Metazoa, Chordata, Mammalia, Carnivora, Felidae. The transcript is spliced from 2 exons.